CCUACGGGUGGCAGCAGUGGGGAAUAUUGGACAAUGGACGAAACUCUGAUGCAGCAACGCCGCGUGAAUGAUGAAGGUCUUCGGCUUGUAAAGUUCUUUUCUCAGGGAAGAAGAAAGUGACGGUACCUUAGGAAUAAGCCUCGGCUAACUACGUGCCAGCAGCCGCGGUAAUACGUAGGAGGCGAGCGUUAUCCGGAAUGACUGGGCGUAAGGGGUGCGUAGGUGGUUUGGCAAGUUAGUUGCGUAACUCCAAGGCUUAACCUUGGGAUUACUACUUAAACUGUUGGACUUGAGUGCAGGAGAGGCAACCGGAAUUCCUAGUGUAGCGGUGGAAUGCGUAGAUAUUAGGAGGAACACCAGUGGCGAAGGCGGGUUGCUAGACUGUAACUGACGCUGAGGCACGAAAGCGUGGGGAGCGAACAGGAUUAGAUACCCGAGUAGUC
Molecule: ribosomal RNA, 443 nt
Filed under: uncultured bacterium
Lineage: Bacteria
Description: partial 16S ribosomal RNA
Rfam family: Bacterial small subunit ribosomal RNA
Source: RNAcentral